UCAGAGCUUUGUUAUACAGGCUUCAAACCCAGUCAGGAUUUCAGCUUACCGCUACACCAAAAGCAAAUUGCGGCCUGCACAAUACAUUUUUAAGGUCACAUGCGUAGAAUGCACCUGGCACCAAAUGCAGAAACAUCAAGCAAACUGGACUGCAUUCGCGUUGUCUGCAACGUCCGCAGCAAAUCAAUGUGUUGGGUGACUUUUGUUGGAUGUGGUUUUGGUCGAUUGGGAAAGUUCACAUCAUGACUGGAGAUUGCAUUUUGGUUGACUUGGAAAGCAUUAUGGUCCCAAUAUUUAGUAUGGAUAAAGAAUUUCGGUGAUGGGAGAGGUGAUUUCCAAAGCCUAGAAAAUGGCAAAGGGGUGGAAGAACACAAAAAGAGGGCAACUCAUGGCAGUCCACACCUUUUCGCGAUUGGUUAAAAGCCAAUACUAGAGGAACCCUCCAGCAGAUUGCUCCUGGUUCUUCUUGCUAAGAAAUGCUGAACAGUUGGAGUUCAAAGAGGCAGGCUAAAACGGGGCAAGGGAGGAAAUGAGAUUUCUGGUGGAAUUUAUGUGCCUCUGAUCAUUCAUCAAUAUUUUUUAAAUGUUGCAUACAAAAUGUAUUGGUACUCAUAUUUGGUUCAUAUAAGGCAAAUUAGUAUUCAGGAAUCAGUGAAGUCAGCAAAACACAAAAAGAGUGCAUUCAAAGACGAUACAUCGCCAACACUGUGAACAGUAACACCAAAUUUUAAAACUGGCCUAUUGCCUUUUUAAAGUUCUGGUUAAAUGUGUUUAUUUUUCUAUUUUCAAUAAACAUAAUACCAAAU
Long non-coding RNA from Carcharodon carcharias (great white shark), 806 nucleotides. RefSeq lists it as uncharacterized. Lineage: Eukaryota; Metazoa; Chordata; Chondrichthyes; Lamniformes; Lamnidae. The record is from RefSeq and is a predicted model, not a curated record. The transcript has 2 exons.